Molecule: long non-coding RNA, 1201 nt
Organism: Homo sapiens (human)
Lineage: Eukaryota; Metazoa; Chordata; Mammalia; Primates; Hominidae
Source: Ensembl
CCGCUUGCAGGGUUUGGAUGCACUCCCUGCCUUCUCACCUUGCACCCAGGUACUCGGGCUUAGGAACAGCAGCAAGUUGUGCCCUCUGUCCCCUGGGACUUUCCAUGGCACGACCCCCAGCUCUGUGCACCAUGUCCUCUGUCCCUCUCAGCAGCCUUGGAAUGUGAGGAAACAGAGAUGACGAGACCGGCUGAGGUCACCUGGCAAACCGGUGGCUGACCCAGGAUGAUAAGAUGACAGGGAUGCCAGAUGGGGACAUUGAGGCAGAGAGAAGCAAAAGGCUUUUGGAAGGUCACACAGCAAGUCAGUGGCAAAGCUAGAAGUCAAGCCCAGAGGAUUUCACUCUACACUUGUCAAAAGCCACAGGCUAGGCCAAUGUGGGCAGAGGGGCAAGGCUGCUGGAACCUCUGAGAUGGCUGGCGCAGCCCCUCCUUGCCGGCCCGGGGUGGCCACAAAUGCAAGAACCGGGAAGGGCCCUCUUGGCACCUGACCCUCACCUGGCACUGUCAGCCCUUGACCACUUCCCCGGUGGGUAGGCAUGCCACCUGUGUCUGCACCCUCCAGCGACCAGGGGCUCAGCUGUUCCCCUGGAUGCCUGUGCUCUCCCUGCUCUGCCCUGCCUGAGCGGAAUCUCCUCCUGCCCUUUGAAUCCACCCCGCAGUGGGAUCUGGCAUCACCCUGUGGACCUCCAGACCUGCCUGUUCCCCAGCUCUGGGACAGCACAUGUGACUCCUUAAGUCUUCUCGGCUGUAGCCCCUCUGACCUCUACAGAUCUAGUAACUUUUCUGAAGUCCACAAUCUGUGGCUGUGGCCCAAGGAGCUCUAAGGGCAGUUUGAGGAAUUAAAAUGAAGACAGUCCUGCAGCCACCUGUGUAUGUGUGUCAGGGCUGGCAGGGAAGCGGUGGCUUCAGGGCUCUACUUCCAUCCAGCCUCCGCCACCUUUGCCCCCACGGUGAAGGCAGCCUAGUGCACUGUUUCCAGGGUCUGGCCCUUUUAAAUUUAGCUGCGGGGAAAAAGCAGUUUGUGCAGGUCUGGAACUUGGAGACAAUCAGCAACAGGAAAAAGUCAUCCGAGGGGAGCUUUCAGUGAAUUAUGGAGGUAUUGUUCCUGCGCCCAAGGAGCCAGGGCUGCUGGUCCAAACCUCGCUGACCCAGCCCAGGCCUUUGGGGCAAAACAUUGCCUGGAGCUGCGUCAGGACAAC